AUUGAACGCUGGCGGCAUGCCUUACACAUGCAAGUCGAACGGCAGCACGGGAGCAAUCCUGGUGGCGAGUGGCGAACGGGUGAGUAAUAUAUCGGAACGUGCCCAGUCGUGGGGGAUAACGCAGCGAAAGCUGUGCUAAUACCGCAUACGAUCUACGGAUGAAAGCGGGGGAUCGCAAGACCUCGCGCGAUUGGAGCGGCCGAUAUCAGAUUAGCUAGUUGGUGAGGUAAAGGCUCACCAAGGCGACGAUCUGUAGCUGGUCUGAGAGGACGACAAGCCACACUGGAACUGAGACACGGUCCAGACUCCUACGGGAGGCAGCAGUGGGGAAUUUUGGACAAUGGGCGAAAGCCUGAUCCAGCAAUGCCGCGUGCAGGAUGAAGGCCUUCGGGUUGUAAACUGCUUUUGUACGGAACGAAACGGUGAGCUCUAAUACAGUUUGCUAAUGACGGUACCGUAAGAAUAAGCACCGGCUGACUACGUGCCAGCCGCCGCCGUAA
RNAcentral lists this ribosomal RNA (500 nucleotides) under uncultured bacterium. RNAcentral's name for it is "partial 16S ribosomal RNA". It matches the Rfam family "Bacterial small subunit ribosomal RNA", at positions 30 to 523 of the family's 1533-position model. The record is from RNAcentral.